Molecule: ribosomal RNA, 16 nt
Filed under: Pseudima sp. McPherson 15867
Lineage: Eukaryota; Viridiplantae; Streptophyta; Magnoliopsida; Sapindales; Sapindaceae
Description: partial 26S ribosomal RNA
Source: RNAcentral
ACCCACCGCGACCCCA